AGGAAAACCAGCUCAGCUAUUAAGGGACCCUCUCCACACAGAGCAGAGCAAGAGAAGGCAGGUUUCAGAGCGAAUAGCUGUUUACCAUCAAAGCAAACGGGGUUCCACACAGACAUGGUAAAGACAAAAGAAACACCAAUAUUGUGACACGAACACAGUGAAUUUAGAGCUUGGUGAAUAGCCAUGCUCAACCAGAGCUGUCUACUGCUCAUCCUGAUGGAAAAUUACAGCCUAAUCAUUCAUUUCUCAGUGCAGAAAUUAAGAAAUGGGGGCAUAAUUCUGGUGGCACUGCAAAUUCUGAAACAACCCCAGAUCUGAUCAGUCAGUUGAAGAUGGGAAGAAAAACAACAAAA
Ceratotherium simum simum (southern white rhinoceros) is the source of this 353-nucleotide non-coding RNA. NCBI's taxonomy places the organism in Eukaryota, Metazoa, Chordata, Mammalia, Perissodactyla, Rhinocerotidae. The record is from RefSeq and is a predicted model, not a curated record.